This 398-nucleotide ribosomal RNA is filed under the name uncultured bacterium. RNAcentral's name for it is "partial 16S ribosomal RNA". It matches the Rfam family "Bacterial small subunit ribosomal RNA", at positions 338 to 733 of the family's 1533-position model. The record is from RNAcentral.
CCUACGGGAGGCAGCAGUGAGGAAUAUUGGUCAAUGGACGCAAGUCUGAACCAGCCAUGCCGCGUGAAGGAGGACGGCUCUAUGAGUUGUAAACUUCUUUUGUACGGGAGCAAAGCCCGAUACGCGUCUCGGGUUGAAAGUAUCUGAAGAAUAAGGAUCGGCUAACUCCGUGCCAGCAGCCGCGGUAAUACGGAGGAUACGAGCGUUAUCCGGAUUUAUUGGGUUUAAAGGGUGCGUAGGCGGUUUGAUAAGUUAGAGGUAAAAUGCCGGGGCUCAACCCCGGAACUGCCUGUGAAACUGUUAGACUAGAGAAUAGUAGAGGUAGGCGGAAUGUAUGGUGUAGCGGUGAAAUGCUUAGAGAUCAUGCAGAACACCGAUUGCGAAGGCAGCUUACCAAA